UAUUUUUCGUAGGCACACAUGGCGGGUUGGUGAUGGCGAUACAGCUCAAUCGUAUGCUAGAAUUGCUCCGCUGGUUUUACAAUAAUUUGUCGGAUAAACCACAAUUUAUAUAAUCAAUCAUCAUCGAGUUGUGUGUUCAAUUUACUCACGCCUUCAUCUCGAUCCAAUUCAUCGUGACCAAGAAGAGAGAGCAAUGGAGAAGAUCUCAAACACUGACGCUGUAAAUGGAGAGGUUAACGAUGGAAAAGACGCUAUUAACGAUGCCUCGGUCUGUGGUUACGACUCGCUUCAUCAACUCCUUGCCGCAAAUCUCAAACCUCAGAUAUUCCAGGAAGUUAGCCGGUUGCUAUUAGGGCUUAACUGUGGAAAGCCGCUUCAAACUGUUUCUCUUGCAGAGCCUGUGAAGAGUCUUUCUCUAAAGCAUGAUUUUGACCUCCAGGCUUUCCGCUUUAUUGCUGACAAGGAAUCAGUGAGAGUACCUCGAAUAGUAAGGGUGGGUCUUAUCCAAAAUUCUAUUGCCCUUCCAACAACUGCCCCCUUUUCAGACCAAAAGAGGGCUAUUCUUGAGAAAGUAAAGCCAAUUAUUGAUGCAGCAGGUGCUUCUGGAGUCAACAUAUUAUGCUUGCAAGAAGCAUGGAUGAUGCCAUUUGCUUUUUGUACCCGUGAGAAGCGGUGGUGUGAAUUUGCAGAGCCAAUUGAUGGGGAAUCGACAAGGUUUCUACAGGAUCUUGCAUUAAAAUACAACAUGGUCAUUGUAAGUUCCAUUCUUGAGAGAGAUGUUAGUCAUGGAGAAACUUUGUGGAAUACUGCUGUUGUUAUUGGAAAUCAUGGAAACAUAAUUGGCAAGCAUCGCAAGAACCAUAUACCAAGAGUUGGCGACUUUAAUGAGAGCACGUACUACAUGGAAGGAAACACCGGGCAUCCUGUGUUCGAGACAGCCUAUGGUAAAAUUGCGAUAAAUAUAUGUUAUGGGAGGCACCACCCUUUAAACUGGUUAGCUUUCGGCUUAAAUGGAGCUGAGAUAGUUUUCAACCCUUCUGCAACUGUUGGUGAACUCAGUGAACCAAUGUGGCCUAUUGAGGCCCGAAAUGCUGCAAUAGCAAAUAGUUAUUUUGUUGGAUCGAUCAAUCGUGUAGGGACCGAGACGUUCCCGAACCCUUUCACUUCGGGGGACGGGAAACCGCAGCAUACAGAUUUUGGUCACUUCUAUGGGUCCAGCCAUUUCUCUGCACCAGAUGCAUCUUGCACUCCCUCACUCUCCCGUUCCCGAGAUGGUUUAUUAAUCUCAGACAUGGAUCUUAACUUGUGUAGGCAGCUGAAAGAUAAAUGGGGAUUCCGAAUGACUGCUCGGUAUGAGAUGUAUGCCGAAACGCUUGCUCGGUAUCUAAAGCCCGAGUUUGAGCCUCAAGUCAUCUCUGAUCCUUUGUUGCACAAGAAGGCUUCUUGAAGGAAGUAUGAUCACUUGGAAAGACUGGAAAAGAAGCCUAUAUGUAAGUUGAACAAGUAAGCUCACUUUCCCUUAUGUUUGUAAGCUUUGAACAUGUGACUCUUUGUUCUAAGCAAAUGUCGCCUUGCAAAGUGUAGUUAAGAUAUACACAAUCAAGCAGCAGAGUAAUAAGAACUUUCAAUGAAUUUAGUAUAAUAAUUAUGGUGAUUCCCAAUAAAAAGUCAUAUCAUAUGACCACAUAUUUACUUAGCUUA
Cucurbita maxima (winter squash) is the source of this 1701-nucleotide RNA transcript. It is a transcript of the gene named beta-ureidopropionase, with no coding region annotated. NCBI's taxonomy places the organism in Eukaryota, Viridiplantae, Streptophyta, Magnoliopsida, Cucurbitales, Cucurbitaceae. The record is from RefSeq and is a predicted model, not a curated record. The transcript is spliced from 7 exons.